UUCAGACUCUUGUACAACAUGGAGUGGGGCAUUCAGAACUAUUUUAUUGUACAUCUUUGGAUCAACAUGUUGGCACCCCAAACAUGGGCACAAGUUUUACACCCUUCAAAUGAUGCUUGCGAAGGAAAAAAAGGUUUCUCGGAUAACAUUAAUUGCUCAAAGCCAAAUUACACACUUGUACAUUUUCAAAAUAACCGGAUGGAGGUCAAGUGGGAUAGCAUAAAACUUUUGAAUGUG
Non-coding RNA from Anolis sagrei ordinatus, 237 nucleotides. NCBI's taxonomy places the organism in Eukaryota, Metazoa, Chordata, Lepidosauria, Squamata, Anolidae. The record is from RefSeq and is a predicted model, not a curated record.